RNAcentral lists this long non-coding RNA (2313 nucleotides) under Eucalyptus grandis. Its description in RNAcentral is "long non-coding RNA (EGRA_LNC001094)". The record is from RNAcentral. Lineage: Eukaryota; Viridiplantae; Streptophyta; Magnoliopsida; Myrtales; Myrtaceae.
GAUAUUGAAUUUGAAGAGGAAUAUUCGUAGAGUCCGUUUCCUAUUCUGAUAUAGAAAAGGCCCUUUCAUUAGCCCCAUUGCCAAAUGCCAACGAACCGAAGGAAUGUUAAUACAGAUCGAAAUUAAUGUGCGGCCAGCGGUGCAUUCCGUGGAAGCCCACCACCCCUUAACCAAACCCACAUGAAUUCAGGUAUAACGAGAGAAGCAAAAUAGCAAAAUCCCUCGUGCAUCUUUUGAAAAGUUGUCUCCCACUAAUGUUGCACGAGAAAGUAGAAAAAUGCCCAAAACGAAUUUGAAAACUGAUCUUGUCAAACGGAGACGCCCCGCCGAUCCCGCGACCACCGAGAGACGGUGGCAUGCCCGGGGACCAUCCCCCCUCUCUCUCUUUCGCGCGCACGCAUCUCAAUCCAUGUGGUUCUCCAAUCUGAAAUUGGAGGGUGGACGGCCGUAAUCUCGAGGUACCUGCCCUCCUGAGGCGAUAAUUACAUGGUGGUGAUGGCUGCUUCGCGAUCUCUGCCUCGCACCCGUAGAGGCGGCUCUCAAAUUUGAUGAUCGACCUAAACCCAACCGCAUAAGGUGGCGAUAUGACAUUAUCACUCCUUGUUAUCCUCCGUCGGCCUUAAUGAGAUGAUGGGAAGGGGAAGUGAAUGAAGAUGUGCACCGCGGAAGACGAGAUGCCCCCAUCACAUCUGACAAAGAUGUUACGAUCAUAGGUUGCUAUCAAAAGUAAAAGAAAACUCAAUAGAAUAUGAUACAUGUCGACAAUGUCACCCGUCCACACGAAACUGCGAGGACCACUGCACCAAACGCUGUCAACCACCGAGAACUGAUGGCGUCCUUAAUGUUUUUAUUACCACGAACGGCUUCGCAUGCUUUCUUCGAGCUUCUUCGGACUCUACUCUCAUAUCUUCCUUCCCUUACAACAGCUACAAAUUGCGGUUUCUUCAGACAUGGGGAUUUGUAGAGACCCUUGUCCGGAAAUGCAAAAAAGCCCGUUUGGACAUGCGAUGCUAAACAAUCCAUGUUUUACGCAAAAGGUGUCCUUUUCUUUCUAAUAAUUUAUGUCGAGAACUCUCCAUAUCCUUCAUGCAGCUUAAGAGUUACGUUAAGGGAAUGAUUAGAGAAAACGUUGAGUGGGGGAUCCUUAAACAUUCAAGUACCUCUUGAAAUCUCGUUUUUAGUGAUGAAGUGGGGGGAUUAGUGGGGGUAAGUUCAUUUCGAAACAAUAGAUACGACGUCGCCUAAUAUAAAGGUGGAAUUUUUCUACCAAAAUAAAUAACUAAAUAAAUAUUAUAUAUAUAAAGAGAGAGAGGUGGAAUAUAUCUGCAUUAAAUUAAUCAAAGAUGCAACUUCUUUGAGCCUCUCAACUAAUGCCUGACAGUUCUCCCUCCCAUCCCAUAAUUGAAUCACAUCCAAUUGGCAAAAACCAUUCUUGAAAAAGAAUCAGUGUCUUAUGACACGGGCUGUCGAGAAAGCGCCAAAGAGAUAAAGUAAAAUAGAUAUAAUUUCAUUAAAAAAUUUAAAAGAUGAAAAAAGAAGGUCGCCGGUUCGCAUUCCCAGUUGCUGCAACCAAUUAUCAGGCACGAAUUUUCAAUUCCUCGGAACCAAUAAUUAAGCGUGAACGAUAAUUGACAGAUAAUAGCACGAAUUCAAAACAAAAGAACGUUAAGGAAAGAGCAAUCAUAGCGGCAGAUGCUACUGCAAUUUAAACUAAGGAUAAAAGCCAUUAAAAAUCCCAAACUCUACUCAAUAUGAUAUAUAUUCAUCUUAAAUUUUGUUUUGUGACACAAAAAUUCCAAACUUGCGCACUUGUAAAAGUUCUGUCAGGAAGAAUUAUUAAAAUCUCCCUAUUUGGACCUCGAGAAGAAGUGAAAAAAAAAUUAUUUGAAAUUUUUUUAGCAGAUGUUAAAUUCCAAAAAAAAAAAAAAAGUAUGUUAAAUAAAUAUUAAGUUUAGGAUUUUUUAUGUUACGAAAGAAAAUUAGGGUAAAUGUAUCGAGCAUAACUUAUGAUUUUUCGAUGCCUAUAUAGAUAAAUAUGUUACCGUGUACAUAAUUUGGAUUUUUUUUUGACUUUAUCAUAUUAAUUUAUCCUAAAGCACUCCAAUAAUUGAAAACUAAACCGUAGGUAUUAAAAAAAACAAAGAGAAAAAGAAAUAAAGCGAAACCAAACCUGACACAAGGGAGGGCGAACUGUGCCAGCGAGCGCCGUCCCCCACAGUCCCCACCUCCUUCCUCUUCCUCUUCCUCUUCCCUUUCCAACCCUCUCUGACACAGCGACGAAAAGGGGAUCUCUCUCUCUCUCUCUAUUAUCUC